Molecule: ribosomal RNA, 251 nt
Filed under: uncultured prokaryote
Description: partial 16S rRNA
Rfam family: Bacterial small subunit ribosomal RNA
Source: RNAcentral
ACGGAGGGUGCAAGCGUUAUCCGGAAUUACUGGGCGUAAAGGGCGCGCAGGCGGCCGGGCAAGUCUGAAGUGAAAGCCCGGGGUUUAAGCUCGGAAGGGCAUUGGAUACUGCUUUGCUUGAGUUCAGGAGAGGUAAGUGGAAUUCCCGGUGUAGAGGUGAAAUGCGUAGAGAUCGGGAGGAACACCAGUGGCGAAGGCGCCCUACUGGACAGCAACUGACGCUGAGGCGCGAAAGUGUGGGGAGCAAACAG